AGAGAGACCCUCCGAUGAGGGGUUGCCGAGACAGCUAUCAAACGACCUUACGCUGCAUGAUUGGUAAACCAGUAUAUGGUGAGCGGUAAGGAAAAACGGGGACAUUGAUCCCCCUAGGU
This is a non-coding RNA of Nitritalea halalkaliphila LW7, 119 nucleotides long. NCBI's taxonomy places the organism in Bacteria, Pseudomonadati, Bacteroidota, Cytophagia, Cytophagales, Cyclobacteriaceae. The record is from Rfam.